Molecule: unclassified non-coding RNA, 337 nt
Filed under: soil metagenome
Description: partial contains 5.8S ribosomal RNA, internal transcribed spacer 2, and large subunit ribosomal RNA
Rfam family: 5.8S ribosomal RNA (bases 1-120)
Source: RNAcentral
GAUGAAGAACGCAGCGAAAUGCGAUAAGUAGUGUGAAUUGCAGAAUUCAGUGAAUCAUCGAAUCUUUGAACGCACAUUGCGCCCCAUGGUAUUCCAUGGGGCAUGCCUGUUCGAGCGUCAUUUGUACCCUCAAGCUUUGCUUGGUGUUGGGUGUUUGUCCCGCGUUGCGCGUGGACUCGCCUUAAAGCGAUUGGCAGCCGGCAUAUUGGCCUUGGAGCGCAGCACAUUUUGCGCUUCUAGUCAUGAAUGUUGGCGUCCAUUAAGCCUAUACAUUUGCUCUUGACCUCGGAUCAGGUAGGGAUACCCGCUGAACUUAAGCAUAUCAAUAAGCGGAGGA